UACGUAGGGUGCGAGCGUUAAUCGGAAUUACUGGGCGUAAAGCGUGCGCAGGCGGUUCGUUGUGUCCGUCGUGAAAGCCCCGGGCUUAACCUGGGAACUGCGAUGGAAACUAGCGAGCUGGAGUGUGGCAGAGGGGGGUGGAAUUCCGCGUGUAGCAGUGAAAUGCGUAGAGAUGCGGAGGAACACCGAUGGCGAAGGCAGCCCCCUGGGCUAACACUGACGCUCAGGCACGAAAGCGUGGGGAGCAAACGGG
This 253-nucleotide ribosomal RNA is filed under the name uncultured bacterium. RNAcentral describes it as "partial 16S ribosomal RNA". It matches the Rfam family "Bacterial small subunit ribosomal RNA", at positions 524 to 776 of the family's 1533-position model. The record is from RNAcentral.